RNAcentral lists this long non-coding RNA (1374 nucleotides) under Homo sapiens (human). Its description in RNAcentral is "non-protein coding lnc-ATG5-3:4". The record is from RNAcentral. Lineage: Eukaryota; Metazoa; Chordata; Mammalia; Primates; Hominidae.
AGCACAUUAGCAUGUUCGGUCACCUCUCCAAGUAAUACUUUAUACUGCCCUGGGACUCUGUAGAGAGUCCCUACCAGCAAGAAGGCUCUCACCAGAUGUGGCCCCUCGACCUUGGAUGUAGCCUCCAGAAUUACUCUAGAAGUAAGGAACCAAGCGCCUCACUGGUGGUGUGGAAGAACUGGGAUUCCCCACAGUGCAGUGGAAAUUCCUGGGAGUCUCGAACCACAUAUUUUCCAUCGACUACAUCCAAAGCUCUGCAAAGAACGGAACCACAGUCAUGUCAAUACACUAUGAACAAUGCCAAAAUCUCAAGAAACCCAAAGGCAUAUUUCUCCAUGUAUUAAUAUAUUUCCAGUCAGCCCAAAUAAUGAAUCAUUCUUCAAAACCUACACGGCGUUGUAGAUAAUUUGGCGCUCUCAUAGCACAUUUAUAAAUAAACCUGGAUGACUUCACCCUGUGCCUAACUGAAUUCUUUUAAAUCCUAUGCAGAAAACAAAUUAGAGAUAGAUAGAGGUAGACAGAAACUAGAUGGAGAGACAGAUUUUGGCAUGAAAGUAAUCCAAUUUCAUUUUCCAGUUUCCUGGUUGUUCUAUGUCGUGGCUUUUAAGAAAUAACAAAAAGAAAUUUGUAAGUUUCCUGAACACUGGAAAUAAAGUGGGAACUGAAUCCCAGUUAGAGAAACAAUCUAGACUAUGCCAGGAAAUGGGAACUGUUCCUAGGAUUAUAAUAUUUAUCAGAUUCAAAAGGAAUGGAAACUAAUAAAGGCAGAAAGAAUGUUUUACAGACUCUGAUGGUUGCCUACCCCAAAGCCAUUCCCUUUAUCCAACCCUUCACUGUUCUCCCACCUCCCCCAUACACACUGCCUUUGCUAAUAAUCCUAAAUUUGUUCAGCAAUUCAUCCUCCAUAUGCCUCAGAGAAAGCUGCUCCCAGCCCCAGUAGUCAGUCGGGAUUGCUCUAACCCUGGUGUCCAGUUUCCCUCACCAGUAACUGAUUUAGGCAAAUGCCCAUAUGUAACUGUCUUGCUUAUGUUACCACAUUGAUUGAUGUCUCCCUGACCCUCUAAAAUGUUCAUACUUUGCCCUGCUUCUCUGGCCCAGUCCUGACCAAUGGGAUGUGAGAGGCGUCUGCUGAAGAAAUGGGGGAAAAGGUCUUCUACAAGAAGAGAAAGUUUCCCUUUCCUGCAGGCCAGUGUCAUGCCUGCAUGUGAUGAAUAUGAUAGAACAUCUUGGGACCAUGUGCAGGAUUAGCCUAAGGAGACUAGAUUGAGGAAAAAGCAGAGAGGAAAUACCUAUCUCUUGAUUUCUUGAAAUGAGAAGCAGAAUUACCUAUCUCUGGAGUUCUUGUUGUGUUAGAUAAUAAACGUCCUAUUCUUC